UCCCCCUCACGCGGGUUUCCUUUCUCCCGAGACCUCUCUCUUGCGAUUUCAUCUCGCACGAUCGCCGGUUGCCACGAACUCACCGCCGACAAUCGAUCUCCUCCGCCGGCGUACCCUCGGCCGAGCCUCCCUCCCUCUCCCUCUCGAUGCGUGGAGUGUUUCUCCUCUUCCUCUCUCGCCACGGACGACCCGACGCCGACGGCUUCCCCAACGAUCAUGGCUUCGUCGCGUCACCAGGGGGAAAGCGUCACCCGAUCUUGAUGGCUCUGACCAUCUCCGAUGCAGCGAUCUCCUCUUUGGCUGUGCUGGCACACGAGGCAAUGACUCGGCGGAGCUAGGGCACGGCAGGAGGGGGGGGAGGGGGGGUUGGCUCGCGUUCCCAGCCGAUUGAUGGUCUCCUCCUCAGUAUGAUCGCUAGGGAUUGUUCCGUAGCUUCACUUCUGUUGGAUUGGAUCGGGCAACAGCAUCGGAGGUGAUCGAUCAAGGAGGAGGCGUUGGAUCAGUAUACUGUGGAUUUUCUUUGAAGUCGAUCAUUGCAUUCCAUUUCUUGCGGCUGAUUUCGGGUUUCGGCUGAAGAAUUUGGGGGCAUUUGAGGGGUUAUUGGGUGGCUAUCGGCAGUAGCUUUGCUGUAGCAAGUUUCUCAGGUUGUGGGUUAACAAUAGUGCCAUCAAGGGGAAUAAGUCAUAGAGGCCAUUGGAUACUUUAGCUCCGGCCACAGUUUUCUUGCAGGGGGUGCUCUAUCAGUGAGUUAACAGCAAGUAGACAGAUAAAGCUUCUUGGCAGUGAGUUGUAGGGUUGCUGAGCUAUUGGAAUUGCUGCCAUACUUCAAGACUUUGUUUCGAGGUGAGCGUCUCGACGUGGGAUUGGUCUAUUUGACACGGUCGACAG
This is a long non-coding RNA of Zingiber officinale, 888 nucleotides long. RefSeq lists it as uncharacterized. The record is from RefSeq and is a predicted model, not a curated record. NCBI's taxonomy places the organism in Eukaryota, Viridiplantae, Streptophyta, Magnoliopsida, Zingiberales, Zingiberaceae. The transcript has 6 exons.